This 490-nucleotide ribosomal RNA is filed under the name uncultured bacterium. RNAcentral describes it as "partial 16S ribosomal RNA". It matches the Rfam family "Bacterial small subunit ribosomal RNA", at positions 30 to 507 of the family's 1533-position model. The record is from RNAcentral.
AUUGAACGCUGGCGGCAGGCCUAACACAUGCAAGUCGAACGGUAACAGGAAGAAGCUUGCUUCUUUGCUGACGAGUGGCGGACGGGUGAGUAAUGUCUGGGAAACUGCCUGAUGGAGGGGGUUAUCUACUGGAAACGGUCCCUAAUACCGCAUAAUUUCGCAAGACCAAAGAGGGGGACCUUCGGUCCCCUUGCCAUCGGGUGUGCGCAGAUGGGAUUAGCUAGUAGGUGGGGUAACGGCUCACUUAGGCGACGCACCCUAGCUGGUCUGAGAGGAUGACCAGCCACACUGGAACUGAGAAAGGCUCCAGACUCCUACGGGAGGCCGCAGUGGAGAAUAUUGCGCAAUGGGGGAGAGCCUGAUGCAGCGAUGCCGCGUGUAUGAAGAAGGCCUUCGGGUUGUAAAGUACUGUCGGCGGGGGGGAAGGAAAUAAAGUUAAUACCUGAGCUCAUUGACGUUACCCGCAGAAGAAGCACCGGCUAACUCCGUG